RNAcentral lists this ribosomal RNA (428 nucleotides) under uncultured prokaryote. RNAcentral describes it as "bacterial SSU rRNA". It matches the Rfam family "Bacterial small subunit ribosomal RNA", at positions 355 to 774 of the family's 1533-position model. The record is from RNAcentral.
UGAGGAAUUUUGCGCAAUGGGAGCAAUCCUGACGCAGCAACGCCGCGUGGGUGAUGAAGGCCUUCGGGUCGUAAAGCCCUGUCAGGUGGGAAGAAUGUCCCGGAACUGAACAGGUUUCGGGAGUGACGGUACCACCAGAGGAAGCACCGGCUAACUCCGUGCCAGCAGCCGCGGUAAUACGGAGGGUGUAAGCGUUAUUCGGAAUUACUGGGCGUAAAGGGCGUGCAGGCGGGAGAGCAAGUCUGAUGUGAAAGCCCGGGGCUUAACCCCGGAAGGGCAUUGGAAACUGCAGGUCUUGAGUACUGGAGAGGAUGGGGGAAUUCCCGGUGGAGAGGUGAAAUUCGUAGAGAUCGGGAGGAAUAUCAGUGGCGAAGGCGCCCAUCUGGACGGUAACUGACGCUGAGACGCGAAAGCGUGGGGAGCAAACA